Molecule: RNA transcript, 2090 nt
Organism: Xyrauchen texanus (razorback sucker)
Lineage: Eukaryota; Metazoa; Chordata; Actinopteri; Cypriniformes; Catostomidae
Exons: 10
Source: RefSeq, a predicted model, not a curated record
CCCGUUUAUACCCACAGGUAAGUUACGUUUUUACAUUUUUAAAAUAAUUUUAAUGAAAUAUUUAGUAUUGUAGUUAAUAGUUAUAUUGGUUAGACUAGCCCUUGUGUUACAUACUGAUACUAGAAGCAAAAAGGAUAAUAUUUACCUCAGACACUGCUGUGUAACGUUAGCAGUGACGGGCUUCGUCAGCCGUCGGUUCAGAAAGCCCUUUUCAAUUGUUUUUCCUCCGGUUUUAAAUUAUUUAAGUUACAGUCUCCCUUUAUUUCCUUGUUAAUGUUAAUUGAAUUGUCAAUAACAAUAAGACAGCUGUGUUAUAAGGAGACGAGCUUCGAGACAGAAGCGUGAAUUUUAAUUUCAAUGAAGCGCGCGCUCGUUGUUCGUUAACGGUACAUUAACAAUAAGCGCCAAUUCAAAUAUAAGCGAACCGGGUGGAAGACGGAGGAGUAUGAUAUGUGAAUGUUUGUCGCAGUUUCACACAUACUUAGGCCUGUGUUAACAGGUGUUAUUAAUUCUUCUAUAGAAUAUGAAAUAUUUGGUUGUUUUUUUUUUUUACAGAGCAGCAAAUUGAUGGGGAGACUCUGCUGGGUCUCACAGAAAGGAUGGUGGAAAGACUUUUUCCUGUAAUGAAACAUCAGGUGACAUUUAUGAAGGAGCUUAAUAAGUUAAAAAACCUGGAAACUGAAGUGCCUCAAAUAUCGUGUACUCCACAAGAACCCUGUGAGAAUGAGGGCUCAUUUGUUGCCCAACCUUGGCCAGCAGUAUACAACCUGCCUGUCUUUCCCCUGAAUUGCAAGCAGCUUUGCAGAGGAAGGAUCCCGGCUUUAAGAAGAAGGACAAGUCUCACAUCCGUGCAUUACUGAUUCAAGUGUUGUUUGACAGCAUCACCUAGCACACCUGGUACCCAAAUCAUAAAAUAUAUGGAGAUGUUCUGGGGAGUUUGAUCACCCGCUUUCCAUUUUUGAAGGAUGGCAGCUCCUCUGGUUAUGAUACCUUGUUGGAAUGCCUUAGAAACAAAUUUAAAAAGAAAGGAUUCCCUUGGUUAGCUCAUCAAUCGUCCUGCAAAUGAAGAAGAAGUAUGGGAUCAAAAGGAAGUGUGCUGGACAAACAUAUUCUGAGGGACUUAGUCAACAACAAGAGAUUGUGUUGGACCUGGAAGUAAUGGGUGAGGAUGAGACAAGUUUCCAGGAACACAUUAAUGCCAUCACCCUGGAGUUGCGUAAAAGCAACCCCAGUUACUCUGAGGUCAAGAACCGGAUGAAGCGCACUCUUUUCAAAAGAGUACAGAUUAUGGACAGGCCUGCAGCUGAAGUAAUGGAGCAGUUUCCUUUUCUUGGGGUGCCACAGCUUAUGCUGCAUGAAAUGACAAUGAGGUUUGGAACAGACUUGGCGAAGAACAUGGAAACAUCUCUAAAUGAAAUGGCCCCAAACAUCAUCAGGAGUGCAAAAGAAGGAAGUCAAAAAAACCUCUACGCAAAUCUCUUUGGACCAGCAGAGGAAACCACAGAGGGUCUCUUUAGGAAUGCUGCACUCAUUUUAUUGCCAGCACUAUUCAAAGAAAAUGCCACUUUCCUCUACUGUGUGGAUAGUUCAUAAGUUUUGGACUGUUUCUACUGCUAUGUACUGUCAUUGAAUAGCACCCCAAUUUUGAGUGCAUCGAUCAUAAAGGAAAUCUAUACAACUCCAGGGUUUAAUACUUGUCUUCUAAAGCAAAAUGGAACCCAAAGGUCCUACACCCACCAUUGUGUUUAAUGGCUCUCCUGAUCCCCUCAAUGCUGAAAGUGUCAGCAUUAUAAUGGACAACGUGACCAUUAUAAGAGAGGCAGACAUCGACAUGACACAGGCUGUGGAAUGCCUUUUUGCUGUCUAUUUUCUUUUCAAUGUGCAAUACCCGGUUCACAUUAAGCACACAAUGACUUUUAUUCAAAAAUACAUGCUUAAACUUAGGCAAGAGCAUGUCAAAAGAACACCAAUACCUGUACUAAAAAUGUACAGUCAACUUCUGUAAAUUGUAGUGAUAUUUAAUAUGUUUUAAUUGUUCAUGUAUUGUUUUUUAUCUGUAUUGUCAAAUAUCAGAAAAUAUAUAUUUUUUC